ACGUAACAUGAGUUUACUGAAGGAAAGAAAGAAGAAAAAGCACUUAUGGAAAAGCGCUUACCACGUACAAUCUUUCUUCUUCCGCUUCACUUUGGACUUCUUCCUCCUCUGCGUGUGGUUGUUGUUGCGAGAAUCAAAGUCAAUGGUGACUGGACACGUCGGAUCCGUAUGUUGAUGCACCGCGUUGCUAUGGCUUCGUACGAUCUUUAGAUCAUCGGCGCGAAGUUGUUGUUUGUUGACGAUGAGUAGUCGUAGUCAUUGAGGAAGAUGAAGUGGAUUCUGGUGUUGAUUGGAUGAAGCAAACUCCGACGAUCGAAACCGAGUGAUGAACGAUGAUGCUCGCAACAGAGCGAAUGGCGACAAGGAUCGAAGUGAAGACGAUGACCGGAAGCGGUUCAAUUCUGGAAAGGUACUUUCAAGCUUUUUCGCUACUUUAUUCUGUUGCGAAUCACUUCUGUUACGAAGCUUCUUCCUCAAUUCUUUUGUGAAGCUUUUCAAGUAUUUCGAUUAUGUUAUCGAUAAGGUGAUUAUGAAGAGGGAUUGGAGUUUAUGGUGUUGAGUGUUACCAAUGGAAGGUUCAGCGUGUUGGUUCAAUGGAGGUUGAAGGUGGUUAACGGUUUUGUGAGUUUGUUACGGUUGUUGAAGGGAUUGAAGAGAGGCUUGGUUCAGUUGUUAGAGGUUGAAGAAGAUUAGGUGAUGGAGGAAGAAGAAGAAUCUGGAUCGUGAUUAUGAGUAUGGUUGAAGGUUUGUUACAGGUUGAAGAAGAAUCUGGAAAAGUUUGUUAGAAUUUUUUGGAGGUUUCUGUUGAAGGAUUGAGGGCAAAAGCGAUUUUGGAAUGAGAGGGAAAAUUUUUCUGAAACCAAUGAUUGGCAAUGAUUGCAGCUUAUAUAGCAGGAUCUAAGGGGCAAAUUGGAGAAUUAAAUCUGAAAAUGGUUCAAUCUGCACCAUCCAGCUGGCACUUAAAUGAAGGUCUGUGUUGGUAUGCUCGGAAAGCUCGCCCUGUCUCUGCAGGUUUCUCUUGGCUUUGGUUUUUCAACAGGUCCACUUCUGCAGGUAACUCUGAAGUUGCAGAGGGAUGCGUGGUUGAUAUGACUCAGCUCAAGUCGAAUGUUCCAACUCUAGCCAUUAUGCAUUUAUCUGAUAGAGUCUGAUGAAAGUGAAUCACGUUGUGUUAAUCUCCCUGAUGUCAACCGCGAAUUCCCUUCACUCUUAGCUGCUAAUUGAAAGUCUUUACAGGUUAUGCUUAAGAUAAUAAAACACGCGUAACUCAUCGAAGCGACAAACCCUUCCGGAUGACGACACUUCAUGACAGCUUAGAUGUGUAUCGCCCAAGGAAUGCUUAAUGUUGCUUGACCUUACUUAGGAGCGCGCGACACACCUUCUUCCGGCCUCGUGUUUGAACCAACGGGAAGCAAUUAGGAUUUAGGUAAAAUACGCGUUUGUGACUCGGGCCUUCCUUAACCAAGUGGAUUGUUGGCACUAUAUCCUGAGUUAAACCCGUUAUCGUACGAUCACAGCCGCUGCAUUACGCCUUGGAAGAACAAUAGGUUUUGAUAUUACGUCCAUAAUCCAUAUGCCCUGCUGGUUUGUAUCAGUGCUUUUGAUAACCCAAGAAUUUCCUGCUGCUAAGAAUGCCCUGUUGGAUUCAAAGGAUAAUUUCCACCAUGAAUGCUGGUAGAACUUCCAAAACCACAUCCCGACGGAAUAGCAGCAGACUGAGGCAAGCUGCUGACAAAAAUGUUAUUCUUAUAUUGUGGAAGCACUGCUGAAAUGCCGAUGGCAUGUAUGCGUAGCUCUGAGGCACGAAUGGAUAGUCAAUUACAUUAGCAAAAUGCCAUAAAGGAAGAGUAAGCUGGGAGUAGGGAUACACGGCAAGGUGUCGAGGAAAUGAAAGUCCAGUGGCAAUAUCAACACCAGGCGAAGCUUGUUGAUUGGGUCGAGCUUGAGGCGUCGAAAUGUUGUUUGCCCUUAAAGCCUCUGACAUGUUCAUAUCAGGACCACCAACUAAUGAAGCCAUGUUACUAUAUUUUGCAGGCAUUGAUUGCGUAACAGGGUUGGCUCCUGCUGGAUGCUACAGAUGUUGCCGGUAAAUUGAAUAUGCUGCUGGAUGUUGUGUUGGUCUGUUGUAAAUGCAGGUUGUUCAUGAUGGUGGUCGUGAGGCCCAUACAAGUCUGCAGCAGGUCAUGGUGGUAUGGAUGAGCAAACAUGGCUAAGUAAAGGGUUGGACCUGGCACGGCAUAACAGUGGAAUUUUUGAAGUCACAAAAGUCAAACCAAGGAUCAAAAUAGGGCUGAGACAUAGGGUUAGGAUCAGAGAUUAUGGACUUAGGAUUUUUUGGGAUGGGUUGACUUUGGUCAAAGUUGACCAAAAAGUCAACCGUUGACCAAAGUCAACCUUGGUCAACACCUCACAUUUUGUGUUUAUUUUGUUCUUUUUUUUUUUUGUAAUGAAUAUUUUAUCCUUUGUAAUGGAAAUUGAUAUUCAUGAAUGGAGUGAGCUUGGAUA
Long non-coding RNA from Lathyrus oleraceus (garden pea), 2505 nucleotides. RefSeq lists it as uncharacterized. The record is from RefSeq and is a predicted model, not a curated record. The transcript is spliced from 7 exons. NCBI's taxonomy places the organism in Eukaryota, Viridiplantae, Streptophyta, Magnoliopsida, Fabales, Fabaceae.